RNAcentral lists this long non-coding RNA (2634 nucleotides) under Junco hyemalis (dark-eyed junco). RNAcentral describes it as "lncRNA (ENSJHYG00000018414.1)". Lineage: Eukaryota; Metazoa; Chordata; Aves; Passeriformes; Passerellidae. The record is from RNAcentral.
CAAUGGGAAGGGGGAAAAUGGGAUUGUAACCCCAGUGCUGGAUGCCAGGGGCUGGCAGGGCAGCCACUGUGGAGGAGCCAGGAGGGGACACGAGAGCUGGGAUCUGGUGCCAGGCCCUGGAGCCAAGGGGACAGAGCCAGGUAAGGGCUCCAGGGAUGACUCCUGCCCCAGGCUGGAGCAGGAGGUGGCCCUGGAAGCCCAGGAAGGGAUGGGCACCCUGAGGGCAGAGCUGGGGCUGUGGGUGACGGUGUCCCUGACACAGGACUGGCCUGGCACUGCUGGGACACACCUGGGACACCUGUCACCGGUGCCACACGGACCUGCAGAGCACGGUGAGGUGACCUUGGGCUGGCACUGCUGCAGGUGGCAGGGACAGGCUGGGGUGGCUGUGCUGGCUCUGCUUUGCUGCUCCUGGGGUGAUGGCAGGGCCAAAGCCGGCUCCUGGAAGAGAAAAAGGUGUGGGGAUGGGAAAAGAGGAGGUUUCUGCCGUCUUGGCAGGGGCAGGGAGCCCGUGUGAGCCAGGAGCAGCUGGACAAGGAGAGAAGGAAAAUAACAACUUCAGAAGAAGAGAAACUGGAGCUGCUGGAGGUCAGAGCACUCCUGGUUUUCCAGAGGGGCCAGGAUCACACGGGAGGGGCCGUGGGAAGGAGCACACACAUCACACACUGCCACAGCUCAGCCCCUUUUCCAGCAUCCCAUGGGAAACAUUCCUGCCACCCAAAUUCCUACAGAGCCCAGCUGGAUUUAUCCACAGCAGGGUUUAUUGAGGGACUGAGGCUUUUAGGAGAAGAAUUUGUUGGGAAAACCGCCCUUGUGGCCGUGGGCAGCCUGGGGUCAGCGUGUGCAGCUCAGAGGGUCCCUGGAGAGCCUGGGCAGAGGCAGGAGAGCUGGAAUGUUGGGAAGGGCAGAGAAGCAGGCAGGGCUGGAGGCUGGGUGAGAAUUCCUGGGCACCGACCCAGCAAACCUCAGCCCUUUAACAAUGGGCAGUGAGGAUGGGAUCCUGCCCUGAGCCCUCCGGGGCUGUGGGGUGGCCCUGGGCAGCCCAGGGUGACUCCGCUGGUCCUGCAGAGGCUGCGGGAGCUGGAGCGGGGCAGCCGCCACCUCCUGCGGCAGCGGCUGCGGGUCCUGCACCGCCUGCAGGGGCUGCUGCAGAGGGACCGGGCCCAGAGCCUGCGGCUGCUCCGGGAGGCCAUGGAACAGGAGGAACUGGGGGGCAGAGCUGCCCUGAUCCCUCUGUCUCUGCCCCUCCAGGAGCCGCCUGGCAGCAGCGCCCGGUGGGAGCAUCGCCCGAGCCGGGCCGGGGGCUCCGCGGCCCUGGGGAACCCCCCGGUGGCCCUGAGGAACGCCCCGGUGGUUUUCCGGGGACACGGCCCCCGGCCUGGCACUGCCCUGGCACCGGGCCCCUCGCCGGCAGCCCUCAGGUGGGUGCCCGGAGGUGCUCAGGGGCACUGGGGUGUCCCACUGGUGCGACCCUCCCUCCCUGUCCCCUGCCUGUCCCCUGCCUCUCAUCGCUGCCCUCCCCAGCCGCGCUCUCCACGUCCUGCGGGGGCUCCGGCAGCAAAUCCAGCGGCGCCUCGGGCAGUGGCAGGGCCUGGAGGGAGCCCUGGGAGCCGCCGGGCAGAGGAACGAGGUGAUUUAGGACUGGGAGGGAGGACAUGGGGUGGGUGAGCCCCCAUUGUCACCCCUGGGGCAGUGCCAGCCCCUGUGCAGGGCGCGGGCCCAGCCGAGUGUGUGUCCCUGUGCAGGAGGGGGAGCAGAGGCAGCGGCCACAGAAGGUCCCAGGAGCCCCAAGGGAGCCCCCGGUCCAGGUGAAUCAGGCCCCGGGUCCUUCCCCGAGGCCGGGCUGGGGUUCAGGGGGACAGGCCUCAGGGGUUGGGGUCUCUGAGAGCCUCGGGGACCCCCAGAUCCCCUCCAGAGGCUCCGUGUCCAGGUCCUGCCUGCUGGAAUGUCCAUCGGGUGACACUGUGUGUGUGUCCUGCCACUGCAGCUGCCCCGUGUCCAUGGCUGAGCUCCAAGGCACGAGGAGCCAGGAAUAUGUGGGCAGGAUCCUCCUGGAGCUCCCAGCCCGGGGCUGAGCUGCCCUUUCCCUCUCCUGUGCAGGGACAGAGGGAAUGUCCCCAUCCCGCCUCCAUCCCUGAGCUCCCCCAGCCCGGCCGGGGCUCCCCGGGGCUCCUGCAGCACCUCCAGCACCUCCAGCACCACCUCCGGGAGCUGCAGCUGGAGCAGACCCAGAGCCCAGGGAGCCGCUCUGCCCUGGGGGCACCGCUGGGCACCAGGGCCAGGCAGGGGCUGGGGGCUCCCCCUGUGCCCCAGCCCCGCUGCUGACCCAGGGGAGCAAGGGGGGCUCCAGUGUGGGGCGCAGUUCCUGCUGGAACAGCCCUGUGGCCCCAGGCAGUCCCACCACCAUCAAUCCGUGCCUCCAGGAGAGCCCAGGGCCUGUGUUGAUCCUGGGGGAAUCAAGAGGAAUGGCCAUAUGUGACGGUGUUCACAGGGGUUUUGAGAUGAGGGAAGAUACAAGGAUCUGACUCCAUGUUUCAGGAGGCUUGAUUUUUUAUUUUAUGAUAUUUAUUAUAUUAAAACUAUACUAAAAGAAUAGAAGAAAAGGUUUCAUCUCAGAAGGCUCGCUAAGCUAAG